Perognathus longimembris pacificus (Pacific pocket mouse) is the source of this 103-nucleotide small nuclear RNA. The record is from RefSeq and is a predicted model, not a curated record. NCBI's taxonomy places the organism in Eukaryota, Metazoa, Chordata, Mammalia, Rodentia, Heteromyidae.
GUGAACUUAUACUCGCUUAGGUAAGAUUUGGACAAUACAGAAAACAUGAGCAUUGCCCCUUAGCAAUGAUGACAUUCCAAUUCAUGAAGUGAUCCCUAUUUUU